RNAcentral lists this ribosomal RNA (253 nucleotides) under uncultured bacterium. Its description in RNAcentral is "partial 16S ribosomal RNA". It matches the Rfam family "Bacterial small subunit ribosomal RNA", at positions 524 to 776 of the family's 1533-position model. The record is from RNAcentral.
UACGGAGGGUGCGAGCGUUAUCCGGAUUUACUGGGUUUAAAGGGUGCGCAGGCGGGUCUGUAAGUCUGUGGUGAAAUCUCCGAGCUUAACUUGGAAACUGCCAUGGAUACUAUAGGUCUUGAAUGUUGUGGAGGUAAGCGGAAUAUGUCAUGUAGCGGUGAAAUGCAUAGAGAUGACAUAGAACACCUAUUGCGAAGGCAGCUUACUACGCAAAUAUUGACGCUCAUGCACGAAAGCGUGGGGAUCAAACAGG